This 127-nucleotide small nucleolar RNA is filed under the name Ochotona princeps (American pika). RNAcentral describes it as "Small nucleolar RNA ACA64 (ENSOPRG00000023882.1)". It matches the Rfam family "Small nucleolar RNA ACA64". The record is from RNAcentral. Lineage: Eukaryota; Metazoa; Chordata; Mammalia; Lagomorpha; Ochotonidae.
CCCGCCUGAAAGUCGCCCCGGCCGUGCCGUGGCCGCGGGUGAGACUCGGCGCCUACAGCCACCGGGGCUUUCAGCUCGCCCCCGCUGCCUCGUGCGGGGGGGGCAUGAAACACAGGCCCCGACAGUG